This 487-nucleotide ribosomal RNA is filed under the name uncultured archaeon. RNAcentral describes it as "bacterial SSU rRNA". It matches the Rfam family "Archaeal small subunit ribosomal RNA", at positions 333 to 816 of the family's 1478-position model. The record is from RNAcentral.
CAGCAGGCGCGAAACCUUUACACUGCACGCCAGUGCGAUAAGGGGAUCCCAAGUGCGUAGGCAUAGAGCCUACGCUUUUGUCCACCCUAGGGUGGUGGACGAAUAAGGGCUGGGCAAGACCGGUGCCAGCCGCCGCGGUAAUACCGGCAGCCCAAGUGAUGGCCGAUCUUAUUGGGCCUAAAGCGUCCGUAGCUGGCCGCACAAGUCCAUCGGGAAAUCCACCUGCUCAACAGGUGGGCGUCCGGUGGAAACUGUGUGGCUUGGGACCGGAAGGCGCGACGGGUACGUCCGGGGUAGGAGUGAAAUCCUGUAAUCCUGGACGGACCGCCGAUGGCGAAAGCACGUCGCGAAAACGGAUCCGACAGUGAGGGACGAAAGCUAGGGUCUCGAACCGGAUUAGAUACCCGGGUAGUUCCUAGCCGUAAACACUGCCUGCUAGGUGUGGCACCCACUACGAGUUGCGUGCCUGUCGCGUAGCGAAGCCCGU